RNAcentral lists this ribosomal RNA (360 nucleotides) under uncultured bacterium. RNAcentral describes it as "partial 16S ribosomal RNA". The record is from RNAcentral.
CGCGGGAAUUCGAUUCCCGGGUAUCCAAGCUUACGGCUACCUUGCUUACGACUUGACUGCCUUAGUGCUAUGCCGCCUAUAGAGCCUGCUGGUAUCCACGAUCUUACUCUGCACGACUAACGUGUAGUCACUAACUAAUCUCGCGGUGGCCUGCGGGGCGUACAUAUGGCUGAGCUCCCUACACGGAUGGAUAGGAUAACUUGAGAUUACUAUACGAGUCUGCUAUUCUAUGCUUGGCGUUCUCAUGGUAUGAUCUGAACCCUGAGUGAAUUUGAUAUACUGCGUCUCGAUUCCACCUAACAUACGAGUCGAUGAGCCUACCGAUGGUGAGCACUGUGGUGCCCCAUGAUGAGAGCUGAC